This 280-nucleotide unclassified non-coding RNA is filed under the name Hevea brasiliensis (rubber tree). The record is from RNAcentral. Lineage: Eukaryota; Viridiplantae; Streptophyta; Magnoliopsida; Malpighiales; Euphorbiaceae.
GAAGUUGGAGUAGCACAUGUGAGUGUGGAUCUGUGUGGUGUCCUGGAUACCGACGUUGGUGAUUCGGAAAGAGUGAACGGCCCAGUUCAAGUAGAAAGCGUGCUCAGCCUUCCUAAGAGGCAAUCCCUCUCUCAAUGCAGCUUCGUCAAUUUGGAUGACAGUGAUACCGGCCUUCUCCAAAUCCUCCACUUCAUCCUUAAUGGCCAAAGCAAUCUGGUAGCAGGUCUCAAACCUAGGUUGGUCAUUUCUGACAAAAGACCAGUUGAGAAUGGUGACAGGG